GAAAUUUGAUUAGGGAUCUUAUAGCGUAUAGACACUAAACCAUGUUUAUCAGUCAUGGGGUGACACACAUUACAGUUAGUUGUACAACAGGCUCCACUAAGACUCCGCCCACUGACAGGGACACUAUAAAGCAGUUAGUUGUUUGUGCAGAGUAGAAGCAAAUCUGUUUUCAAGAUGAGGGGGCUCUUAUCACUCAGUUUGAUGGUCUUCGUUCUAACAGAAUCCACGAAGGAAGAAGAUAUGCCUGCCUUUGGAUCCAGAACAGCAACGGGUGGGGGCGGGUUUAACUCAACAAACAACUCGACAACCAACUCAACAAUGGCAACAGAGGUGCCCGCAGUAAGUGAGGUAGAGGCUGAUGGUGUUCGGGUGGCGAUUAGCAGUUCCGAUGGGUUCAGAAGACCACCUGCGAAUGGAGAGGAUACCAAGAUGCCUCAGGGAGACACGGCGCCGACUCCACCUAAGAAGACAUUACUAGACUUAAGUACCGUUAUCCUUUUGGAAAAUGAAAAAGAUUGUCCUUCGAGGCCAAGUGACGGUAAUGUGGACCAGCCUUCCUUUGGAUCCAGAACACUAACGGGUGGGGGCGGGUUUAACUCAACAAACAACUCAACAACCAACUCAACAAUGGCAACAGAGGUGCCCGCAGUAAGUGAGGUAGGGGCUGAUGGUGUUCGGGUGGCGAUUAACAGUCCUGAUGGGUUCAGAACACCACCUGCGAAUGGAGAGGAUACCAAGAUGCCUCAGGGAGACACAGCGCCGACUCCAACUAAGAAGACAUUACUAGACCCAAUUGUCACUAUCCUCUUUGGAAAUUGAAAAAGAUUUUCCUUCUAAGCCAAGUGACGGUAAUGUGGACCAG
Long non-coding RNA from Sparus aurata (gilthead seabream), 862 nucleotides. The record is from Ensembl. NCBI's taxonomy places the organism in Eukaryota, Metazoa, Chordata, Actinopteri, Spariformes, Sparidae.